This 403-nucleotide ribosomal RNA is filed under the name uncultured bacterium. Its description in RNAcentral is "bacterial SSU rRNA". It matches the Rfam family "Bacterial small subunit ribosomal RNA", at positions 355 to 774 of the family's 1533-position model. The record is from RNAcentral.
UGGGGGAUAUUGCACAAUGGAGGAAACUCUGAUGCAGCAACGCCGCGUGAGGGAAGAAGGUCUUCGGAUUGUAAACCUCAGUAGUCAGGGACGAAAGAAAUGACGGUACCUGAAGAGUAAGCUCCGGCUAACUACGUGCCGGCAGCCGCGGUAAUACGUAGGGAGCGAGCGUUGUCCGGAUUUACUGGGUGUAAAGGGCGCGCAGGCGGGAUAAAAAGUCAGUGGUGAAAUCCUACAGCUUAACUGUAGAACUGCCUUUGAUACUUUUAUUCUUGAGUUCGGGAGAGAGACGGAAUUCCAGGUGUAGUGGUGAAAUACGUAGAUAUCUGGAAGAACACCAGUUGCGAAGGCGGUCUCUUGGUCCGACACUGACGCUGAGGCGCGAAAGCGUGGGGAGCAAACA